RNAcentral lists this long non-coding RNA (2249 nucleotides) under Salmo trutta (river trout). Its description in RNAcentral is "lncRNA (ENSSTUG00000016884.1)". The record is from RNAcentral. Lineage: Eukaryota; Metazoa; Chordata; Actinopteri; Salmoniformes; Salmonidae.
CAAACAAUGAAGCACAUUUUCGGCUUUCUGGCACCAGGUCCCAUUAGUUUCUCUCUCUCUCUCUCCACAGAUAGCUUGAUGGAGGAUAUGGAUGUUGACCUAGAGAUAGUUUCUGCAUGAUCUGAAAGAUUUAAAGAUUUUGGUUAAUGACAAAGACAUAGACCAACAUAAAAGGUAAGAUGGGUGAACCAUGUGUAUGAAAGUGCUUGUGGGGGUUUAUAGAAAUGUUUCCGCCAUUGAUGUCUUUUUUGGUCCCCCUCUUGACUCUCUUCUCUCUUGUGUCUCUUAGCCUGGUGUGUGCUUCUCUGAUGGGAAAAAGCGAAGUCUACAAGUUGAUGGAGGCUAACUUCAAAAAUCUUUCUAGAGUGCUGAUAAACCUUGCAUCUGAACUCACACAUACCAAAGAUGUCAGAGAUGUAUUCAUUGACCUUGUGGAGGAAACGAACAACAUCAGUGCAAUGAUGGUCCAGGCCCGUGCUGUGACCGGCCCCGAAGAGUACAACCUGGAGAUGGUGUCUGUCAACCCACUCAUGAUUUAUCAGACUUGCUCUGCCCUACGACUGUCUGUCUUUGUAGGACCAUCUGAGGAGACAGAUGGAGCAAAGAGAAGGAAAUGGAAAUAGAGAGUGGGAGACAGAUGUGAGAUGAGAAUAACUGUUAAGGACAUGAGACAGGAACAUUUCUCAGACACAUUACUACUAUACAUGUAUCUUAAAGAAAUCUGCCCGGGGCAAAGCAAGUUGUAAAACCAUUCUUCCAUAAUUCUGUGAGUCACCACAAACACACAUGCUCAUGCACACGCAUGCAGACUGGUGAGGCUUUAAAUCGGAGGACGGCUCAUUUGUAGUGACUGGAAUGGAAUAAAUGGAACAUAUCAAACAUGUUUUUAAUACUGAUCGAUUUAUUCCGUGCCAGACAUUAUUAUUAGUUGUCCUCCCUUCACCAGCCUCCUCUGACACACGUACGCAUGGCACACUGGCACACCCUGGAAUCUAGCCUCUGCAGUGUGCAUCAUGUUUUCAAUAGUUUCUUGCUCCACAAAAGACUAGCCAAGAGGGUCCAUUAUCUUGUUACCAAGGCAACUGAUAAAAACAUCCAUUCAAAGCUACCAUUUCAACCCAUGUCAUACUGUGUUAUUUUUCUCUCCAUCAGGGUCGUUCUCUUGCUCUCCUCUCAUCCUAACUGUUCUCCAGAUAGUUCACUCUUAACUGUAAAGAAUUAACAUUGCUUGUUCCUAUUCUUUUUUUUUUUUUUUUACAAUUUAUGUUUGUUUUGUCAUGUUACUAAAAUGAAAAGUGAUGAAAGCAACAUUUGGGUGAAUGUUUCUUUUAGUUGCUGUUCCUCUUCCACCUCCCUGCUCAUGCAGACGCUUAACCUUUCUCUUACCACCUCUUCUGCUUAAUUAAGGACCAAUAAUGGGUUCUCUUGCUGACCAUCUUUUCUCUCUUUCAUUCACUCUGUCACGUUUGCUUAUUUCCUUUUCAGUACAAACACAGAUAAAUGCACUCUUUCAAAACAAGGGACACUGCUAAUUACACUACAGUACGUGCAGUUACCAUAGUUUAGCAUCUUACUUUAAAUUGCCAAAUGACCCUAACUACAGGUUUAAACGUCACCCUAGCUACAUUUUUAAACAUCUUUUAAAUGAAUAGCCUACAACUUAAAAGUUGGUAACAUUUGGUUUAGUCAACAAAGUCUCCUUGUUAUUUCAGCUUUAUCAAUGUAAUUAUGUUGCAUCGAUGUGGCUAGUUGGUUGAAUUUGCGUGAGGUCAUUAGCAUGCACAGUCUUUGUCUCAUUUUAACCCAGAUGUCAACCAAAAAUCAACAAUCGGGUUCAAAUGUACAAUUCGGUCACAAAUCAACCAAAUGGUUGAUCUGACGUCUUGGUGAGUCAUGUAGCUGUGUAAUGGUUCAAAUGAAUCUAAAAGUGGUUGACAUUAUAGCCCUGUUUAUACUUGGUUCUAACGUGCAGCCUUUUUCUGGAUCUUAUCCACAUUCUGAUUGUGCCCACAUUUUUGGACAAGUGUAGACGAUUAAAAGAUGCAUCGUGAUCUGAUUGUGAUCAGAUCUUAUAAGUGUGAACAGACAAGAUCAAGUCAAGAUUAGGACGAUGGACACAUGUUAACGGAAAGUAUAAACAGGACUUAUGUGAAUCGUCCGCUGUAGAAUUGACUCUUACCUAAGACAUGAAUCACAGUUAUCUGUAACCUAAAAAAUGAUUUGGAGAAAUGUAUGUUAUUGUCGUGUCA